This 1333-nucleotide ribosomal RNA is filed under the name uncultured bacterium. RNAcentral describes it as "bacterial SSU rRNA". It matches the Rfam family "Bacterial small subunit ribosomal RNA", at positions 28 to 1382 of the family's 1533-position model. The record is from RNAcentral.
GACGAACGCUGGCGGCGCGCCUAACACAUGCAAGUCGAACGAGCGAGAGAGAGCUUGCUUUCUCGAGCGAGUGGCGAACGGGUGAGUAACGCGUGAGGAACCUGCCUCAAAGAGGGGGACAACAGUUGGAAACGACUGCUAAUACCGCAUAAGCCCACGGCUCGGCAUCGAGCAGAGGGAAAAGGAGCAAUCCGCUUUGAGAUGGCCUCGCGUCCGAUUAGCUAGUUGGUGAGGUAACGGCCCACCAAGGCAACGAUCGGUAGCCGGACUGAGAGGUUGAACGGCCACAUUGGGACUGAGACACGGCCCAGACUCCUACGGGAGGCAGCAGUGGGGAAUAUUGCACAAUGGGGGAAACCCUGAUGCAGCGACGCCGCGUGGAGGAAGAAGGUCUUCGGAUUGUAAACUCCUGUUGUUGAGGAAGAUAAUGACGGUACUCAACAAGGAAGUGACGGCUAACUACGUGCCAGCAGCCGCGGUAAAACGUAGGUCACAAGCGUUGUCCGGAAUUACUGGGUGUAAAGGGAGCGCAGGCGGGAGAACAAGUUGGAAGUGAAAUCCAUGGGCUCAACCCAUGAACUGCUUUCAAAACUGUUUUUCUUGAGUAGUGCAGAGGUAGGCGGAAUUCCCGGUGUAGCGGUGGAAUGCGUAGAUAUCGGGAGGAACACCAGUGGCGAAGGCGGCCUACUGGGCACCAACUGACGCUGAGGCUCGAAAGUGUGGGUAGCAAACAGGAUUAGAUACCCUGGUAGUCCACACCGUAAACGAUGAUUACUAGGUGUUGGAGGAUUGACCCCUUCAGUGCCGCAGUUAACACAAUAAGUAAUCCACCUGGGGAGUACGACCGCAAGGUUGAAACUCAAAGGAAUUGACGGGGGCCCGCACAAGCAGUGGAGUAUGUGGUUUAAUUCGACGCAACGCGAAGAACCUUACCAAGUCUUGACAUCCCUUGACGAUGCUGGAAACAGUAUUUCUCUUCGGAGCAAGGAGACAGGUGGUGCAUGGUUGUCGUCAGCUCGUGUCGUGAGAUGUUGGGUUAAGUCCCGCAACGAGCGCAACCCUUAUGGUCAGUUACUACGCAAGAGGACUCUGGCCAGACUGCCGUUGACAAAACGGAGGAAGGUGGGGAUGACGUCAAAUCAUCAUGCCCUUUAUGACUUGGGCUACACACGUACUACAAUGGCGUUAAACAAAGAGAAGCAAGACCGCGAGGUGGAGCAAAACUCAGAAACAACGUCCCAGUUCGGACUGCAGGCUGCAACUCGCCUGCACGAAGUCGGAAUUGCUAGUAAUCGUGGAUCAGCAUGCCACGGUGAAUACGUUCCCGGGCCUU